This 399-nucleotide ribosomal RNA is filed under the name uncultured bacterium. RNAcentral's name for it is "bacterial SSU rRNA". It matches the Rfam family "Bacterial small subunit ribosomal RNA", at positions 355 to 751 of the family's 1533-position model. The record is from RNAcentral.
UGAGGAAUAUUGGACAAUGGAUGGAAAUCUGAUCCAGCCAUGCCGCGUGCAGGAAGAAUGUCCUAUGGAUUGUAAACUGCUUUUGUAUGGGAGCAAUAAGGUAUUCGUGAAUACCGAUGAGAGUACCAUACGAAUAAGCACCGGCUAACUCCGUGCCAGCAGCCGCGGUAAUACGGAGGGUGCAAGCGUUAUCCGGAUUUAUUGGGUUUAAAGGGUGCGUAGGCGGUUAUAUAAGUCAGCGGUGAAAUUUUUCGGCUCAACCGGAAACAUGCCGUUGAUACUGUAUAGCUUGAAUAUGGUUGCUGUGAGUGGAAUGUGUAGUGUAGCGGUGAAAUGCUUAGAUAUUACACAGAAUAUCGAUUGCGAAGGCAACUCACAAAGCCAAUAUUGACGCUGAGG